RNAcentral lists this ribosomal RNA (520 nucleotides) under uncultured bacterium. Its description in RNAcentral is "partial 16S ribosomal RNA". It matches the Rfam family "Bacterial small subunit ribosomal RNA", at positions 28 to 507 of the family's 1533-position model. The record is from RNAcentral.
GACGAACGCUGGCGGCGUGCCUAAUACAUGCAAGUCGAACGCACUCUCGUUUAGAUUGAAGGAGUUUGCUCCUGAUUGAUAAACAUUUGAGUGAGUGGCGGACGGGUGAGUAACACUUGGGUAACCUGCCCUAAAGUGGGGGAUAACAUUUGGAUACAGAUGCUAAUACCGCAUAAAACCUAAAACCGCAUUGUGUAGGAUUGAAAGAUGGUUUCGGCUUUCAUUUUCGAAUUGAUCCGCGGUGCAUUAGUUAGUUGGUGAGGUAAAGGCUCACCAAGACAGUGAUGCAUAGCCGACCUGAGAGGGUAAUCGGCCACACUGGGACUGAGACACGGCCCAGACUCCUACGGGAGGCAGCAGUAGGGAAUCUUCCACAAUGGACGAAAGUCUGAUGGAGCAACGCCGCGUGAGUGAAGAAGGUGUUCGGAUCGUAAAACUCUGUUGUUGGAGAAGAAUGUAUCUGAUAGUAACUGAUCAGGUAGUGACGGUAUCCAACCAGAAAGCCACGGCUAACUACGUG